AUUGAACGCUGGCGGCAGGCCUAACACAUGCAAGUCGAACGGUAACAGGAAACAGCUUGCUGUUUCGCUGACGAGUGGCGGACGGGUGAGUAAUGUCUGGGAAACUGCCUGAUGGAGGGGGAUAACUACUGGAAACGGUAGCUAAUACCGCAUAACGUCGCAAGACCAAAGAGGGGGACCUUCGGGCCUCUUGCCAUCGGAUUUGCCCAGAUGGGAUUAGCUAGUAGGUGGGGUAACGGCUCACCUAGGCGACGAUCCCUAGCUGGUCUGAGAGGAUGACCAGCCACACUGGAACUGAGACACGGUCCAGACUCCUACGGGAGGCAGCAGUGGGGAAUAUUGCACAAUGGGCGCAAGCCUGAUGCAGCAAUGCCGCGUGUAUGAAGAAGGCCUUCGGGUUGUAAAGUACUUUCAGCGGGGAUGAAGGGAGUAAAGUUAAUACCUUUGCUCAUUGACGUUACCCGCAGAGGAAGCCCCGGCUAACUACGUG
Molecule: ribosomal RNA, 490 nt
Filed under: uncultured bacterium
Lineage: Bacteria
Description: partial 16S ribosomal RNA
Rfam family: Bacterial small subunit ribosomal RNA
Source: RNAcentral